GACAGAGGGGCCGAGCGUUAGGCGGAAUCACUGGGCUUAAAGCGUGUGUAGGCGGGCGGGCAAGUACCUUGUGAAAUCCCACGGCUCAACCGUGGAACGGCUGGGUAUACUGCCUGUCUUGAGCCAACUAGGGGCGAGCGGAACAGACGGUGGAGCGGUGAAAUGCGUAGAUAUCGUCUGGAACGCCGAAGGUGAAAACAGCUCGCUGGGGCUGUGCUGACGCUGAGACACGAAAGCCAGGGGAGCGAACGGG
RNAcentral lists this ribosomal RNA (253 nucleotides) under uncultured bacterium. Its description in RNAcentral is "partial 16S ribosomal RNA". It matches the Rfam family "Bacterial small subunit ribosomal RNA", at positions 524 to 776 of the family's 1533-position model. The record is from RNAcentral.